This is a small RNA of 'Nostoc azollae' 0708, 51 nucleotides long. It matches the Rfam family "Nitrogen stress-induced RNA 1". NCBI's taxonomy places the organism in Bacteria, Bacillati, Cyanobacteriota, Cyanophyceae, Nostocales, Nostocaceae. The record is from Rfam.
UGGUAGAUGCACCCUGGUUAAGCCCUGGAGAACACUCUGGGGCAUUUUUUA